GCUGAUACAUGUGAUAUGACAUGUAUGAUGCAUGACCUGCAUGACCUGUGGCGUUUGAGUAACAUCGACCGCUAAGCCGCGAUCGAUUGAAUCUUGAUCAUCCGAGACUAGCACCGUCGAUUGAUCAUCAAAUCAAAACUCACACAUCUCCAAAAAAUGAGGACGGGCCUAAAUUUCUUUAUCGGCUUCGCUUUUCCCUCCCAAGAAACAGUUGAGCGUAGAGAGAAUUUUAUUUCUAAGUUAUAAGUUGUCCAAUUUCCGGACAGAAAUGACUUGAACAGUCGCAUCCAACACGGUCCGCGCCGCACACUGGUAGUACGCCUCUGAAAGGGACCAAUCAUGGCACUUCGUAUCGCCGUCGUGGAGUUCAUGCCCAUGAAGAGUUGCUUCAUCAGUCUGCCGGUGACCUGGGGUCAAGAGUUCCAGCGAAAACAGAAUUACAUCUUCGAGCUUCAGUGGGGGGAUCGAGGCAGGGCGUAUGUCUCGUGGGCCGGAGAUACCCUCAGGUUGCCCGAGGGAAGUACAGUCGGGAAUCCCACAAUUCAAAU
Molecule: long non-coding RNA, 548 nt
Organism: Patiria miniata (bat star)
Lineage: Eukaryota; Metazoa; Echinodermata; Asteroidea; Valvatida; Asterinidae
Exons: 3
Source: RefSeq, a predicted model, not a curated record